AACGAACGCUGGCGGCAGGCUUAACACAUGCAAGUCGAACGCUCAUAGCAAUAUGGGAGUGGCGCACGGGUGAGUAACGCGUGGGAACGUGCCUUUCAGUUCGGAGUAACCACUGGAAACGGUGGCUAAUGCCGAAUAUUCCCUCCGGGGGAAAGAUUUAUCGCUGAAAGAUCGGCCCGCGUUAGAUUAGGUAGUUGGUGGGGUAAUGGCCUACCAAGCCUACGAUCUAUAGCUGGUCUGAGAGGAUGAUCAGCCACACUGGAACUGAGACACGGUCCAGACUCCUACGGGAGGCAGCAGUGGGGAAUAUUGGACAAUGGGCGAAAGCCUGAUCCAGCCAUGCCGCGUGAGUGAUGAAGGCCUUAGGGUUGUAAAGCUCUUUUGUCAGGGAAGAUAAUGACGGUACCUGAAGAAUAAGCACCGGCUAACUUCGUGCCAGCCGCCGCGGUAA
RNAcentral lists this ribosomal RNA (451 nucleotides) under uncultured bacterium. RNAcentral describes it as "partial 16S ribosomal RNA". It matches the Rfam family "Bacterial small subunit ribosomal RNA", at positions 29 to 523 of the family's 1533-position model. The record is from RNAcentral.